RNAcentral lists this ribosomal RNA (524 nucleotides) under Diploscapter coronatus. RNAcentral's name for it is "partial large subunit ribosomal RNA". It matches the Rfam family "Eukaryotic large subunit ribosomal RNA", at positions 655 to 1145 of the family's 3401-position model. Lineage: Eukaryota; Metazoa; Nematoda; Chromadorea; Rhabditida; Rhabditidae. The record is from RNAcentral.
UGAAACACGGACCGUGGAGUGUAGCUAUUNUGCGAGUCGAAGAGUGCUCAAAACUCUANAUCGGCGUAAUGAAAGUAAAGACCGACUCGUGCGGUUGACAUGGGAUUUGGUGGCUCUCGUGGUCUGCCAACGCACCAUGGUCCUAUCCGAAUGGCUUGCCAUUGGGUAGAGAUAGAGCAUAAUGGCUGCGACCCGAAAGAUGGUGAUCUAUGCUUGAGCAGGACGAAGCCAGAGGAAACUCUGGUGGAAGUCCGCAUCGGUUUUGACGUGCAAAUCAAUCGAUAGACUUGAGUAUAGGGGCGAAAGACUCAUCGAACCAUCUAGUAGCUGGUUCCUUCCGAAGUUUUUCUUAGAAUAGCUGGGACUCGAAUGUUUACAUUCGAUAAAGAUAAUGAUUAGAGGUAUUGGGGACGAAACGUUCUCAACCUAUUCUCAAACUUUAAACGGGUGUAAUGCCUUCAGUUUCUUCAUUGAACUGAUCGCACGAACAUCGNAAGGUCCCAAGUGNGCCAUUUCUGGUAAGC